GACGAACGCUGGCGGCGUGCCUAAUACAUGCAAGUAGAACGCUGAAGGAGGAGCUUGCUUCUCUGGAUGAGUUGCGAACGGGUGAGUAACGCGUAGGUAACCUGCCUGGUAGCGGGGGAUAACUAUUGGAAACGAUAGCUAAUACCGCAUAAGAGUAGAUGUCGCAUGACAUUUGCUUAAAAGGUGCAAUUGCAUCACUACCAGAUGGACCUGCGUUGUAUUAGCUAGUUGGUGAGGUAACGGCUCACCAAGGCAACGAUACAUAGCCGACCUGAGAGGGUGAACGGCCACACUGGGACUGAGACACGGCCCAGACUCCUACGGGAGGCAGCAGGAGGGAAUCUUCGGCAAUGGACGGAAGGCUGACCGAGCAACGCCGCGUGAGUGAAGAAGGUUUUCGGAUCGGAAAGCUCUGUUGUAAGGGAAGAACGAGUGUGAGAGUGGAAAGUUCACACUGUGACGGUACCUAACCAGAAAGGGACGGCUAACUACGUG
This 495-nucleotide ribosomal RNA is filed under the name uncultured bacterium. RNAcentral describes it as "partial 16S ribosomal RNA". It matches the Rfam family "Bacterial small subunit ribosomal RNA", at positions 28 to 507 of the family's 1533-position model. The record is from RNAcentral.